Molecule: ribosomal RNA, 379 nt
Filed under: uncultured bacterium
Lineage: Bacteria
Description: bacterial SSU rRNA
Rfam family: Bacterial small subunit ribosomal RNA
Source: RNAcentral
UAAUACGGGGGGAGCAAGCGUUGUUCGGAUUUACUGGGCGUAAAGGGCGCGUAGGCGGCCAGCACAAGUCAGUUGUGAAAUCUCCGAGCUUAACUCGGAAAGGUCAACUGAUACUGUGCGGCUAGAGUGCGGAAGGGGCAACUGGAAUUCUUGGUGUAGCGGUGAAAUGCGUAGAUAUCAAGAGGAACACCUGCGGCGAAGGCGGGUUGCUGGGCCGACACUGACGCUGAGGCGCGAAAGCUAGGGGAGCGAACGGGAUUAGAUACCCCGGUAGUCCUAGCCUUAAACGAUGAAUGCUUGGUGUCUGGGGUUAUAAAGUCCCCGGGUGCCGUCGCUAACGCUUUAAGCAUUCCGCCUGGGGAGUACGGUCGCAAGACUG